This 377-nucleotide ribosomal RNA is filed under the name uncultured eukaryote. Its description in RNAcentral is "partial 18S ribosomal RNA". It matches the Rfam family "Eukaryotic small subunit ribosomal RNA", at positions 592 to 976 of the family's 1831-position model. The record is from RNAcentral.
CAAUAGCGUAUAUUUAAGUUGCUGCAGUUAAAAAGCUCGUAGUUGGAUUUCGGGUGGGAAUGGCCGGUCCGCCGUUUCGGUGUGCACUUGCUACGCCCACCUUGCUGCCGGGGACGUGCUCUUGAGUUCACGCUCGGGACACGGAGUCGGCGAGGUUACUUUGAGUAAAUUAGAGUGUUCAAAGCAGGCCUACGCUCUGAAUACAUUAGCAUGGAAUAACACGAUAGGACUCUGGCCUAUCUUGUUGGUCUGUAGGACCGGAGUAAUGAUUAAGAGGGUCAGUCGGGGGCAUUCGUAUUUCAUUGUCAGAGGUGAAAUUCUUGGAUUUAUGAAAGACGAACUACUGCGAAAGCAUUUGCCAAGGAUGUUUUCAUUAA